CCUACGGGUGGCUGCAGUCGAGAAUCAUUCACAAUGGGGGAAACCCUGAUGGUGCGACGCCGCGUGGGGGAAUGAAGGUCUUCGGAUUGUAAACCCCUGUCAUGUGGGAGCAAAUUAAAAAGAUAGUACCACAAGAGGAAGAGACGACUACCUCUGUGCAAGCAGCCGCGGUAAUACAGAGGUUUCAAGCGUUGUUCGGAAUCACUGGGCGUAAGGCGUGCGUAGGCUGUUUCGUAAGUCGUGUGUGAAAGGCGCGGGCUCAACCCGCGGACGGCACAUGAUACUGCGAGACUAGAGUAAUGGAGGGGGAACCGGAAUUCUCGGUGUAGCAGUGAAAUGCGUAGAUAUCGAGAGGAACACUCGUGGCGAAGGCGGGUUCCUGGACAUUAACUGACGCUGAGGCACGAAGGCCAGGGGAGCGAAAGGGAUUAGAUACCCGGGUAGUC
Molecule: ribosomal RNA, 446 nt
Filed under: uncultured bacterium
Lineage: Bacteria
Description: partial 16S ribosomal RNA
Rfam family: Bacterial small subunit ribosomal RNA
Source: RNAcentral